GACUACUCGGGUAUCUAAUCCUGUUUGCUCCCCACGCUUUCGCACCUCAGUGUCAGUAUCAGUCCAGGUGGUCGCCUUCGCCACUGGUGUUCCUUCCUAUAUCUACGCAUUUCACCGCUACACAGGAAAUUCCACCACCCUCUACCGUACUCGAGUCAUGCAGUUUUGGAUGCAGUUCCCAGGUUGAGCCCGGGGCUUUCACAUCCAACUUACAAAACCACCUACGCGCGCUUUACGCCCAGUAAUUCCGAUUAACGCUUGCACCCUUCGUAUUACCGCGGCUGCUGGCACGAAGUUAGCCGGUGCUUAUUCUGUUGGUAACGUCAAAACAGCAAGGUAUUAACUUACUGCCCUUCCUCCCAACUUAAAGUGCUUUACAAUCCGAAGACCUUCUUCACACACGCGGCAUGGCUGGAUCAGGCUUUCGCCCAUUGUCCAAUAUUCCCCACUGCAGCCACCCGUAGG
RNAcentral lists this ribosomal RNA (465 nucleotides) under uncultured Pseudomonadaceae bacterium. Its description in RNAcentral is "partial 16S ribosomal RNA". The record is from RNAcentral. Lineage: Bacteria; Pseudomonadati; Pseudomonadota; Gammaproteobacteria; Pseudomonadales; Pseudomonadaceae.